RNAcentral lists this ribosomal RNA (461 nucleotides) under uncultured bacterium. RNAcentral describes it as "partial 16S ribosomal RNA". It matches the Rfam family "Bacterial small subunit ribosomal RNA", at positions 28 to 523 of the family's 1533-position model. The record is from RNAcentral.
GAUGAACGCUGGCGGCGUGCCUAAAACAUGCAAGUCGUGCGGCAGCGGGCCUUCGGGUGCCGGCGAGCGGCGGACGGGUGAGUAACGCGUAGGAACGUACCCCAAAGUGAGGGAUAAGCUCCGGAAACGGAGUCUAAUACCGCAUAUGCUCUUGGGAGUAAAGGAGUAAUCCGCUCUGGGAGCGGCCUGCGUCCGAUUAGUUUGUUGGUGAGGUAAUGGCUUACCAAGACGAUGAUCGGUAGCUGGUUUGAGAGGAUGAUCAGCCACACUGGGACUGAGACACGGCCCAGACUCCUACGGGAGGCAGCAGUUAGGAAUUUUCCACAAUGGGGGCAACCCUGAUGGAGCAACGCCGCGUGCAGGAAGACGGCCUUCGGGUUGUAAACUGCUUUUAAAAGUGAAGAUUAUGACGGUAACUUUAGAAUAAGGAUCGGCUAACUCCGUGCCAGCCGCCGCGGUAA